RNAcentral lists this ribosomal RNA (497 nucleotides) under uncultured bacterium. RNAcentral describes it as "partial 16S ribosomal RNA". It matches the Rfam family "Bacterial small subunit ribosomal RNA", at positions 28 to 507 of the family's 1533-position model. The record is from RNAcentral.
GAUGAACGCUGGCGGCGUGCCUAAUACAUGCAAGUCGAGCGAACAGACGAGGAGCUUGCUCCUCUGUCGUUAGCGGCGGACGGGUGUGUAACACGUGGAUAACCUCCCUAUAAGACUGGGAUAACUUCGGGAAACCGGAGCUUAUACCGGAUAAUAUAUUGAACCGUAUGGUUCAAUAGUGAAAGUCGGUUUUGCUGUCACUUAUCGCUGGAUCCGCGCCGCAUUAGCUAGUUGGUACGGUAACGGCUUACCAAGGCAACGAUGCGUAGCCGACCUGAGAGAGUGAUCGGCCACACUGGAGCUGGGACGCGGUCCAGACGCCUGCGAGAGGCAGCAGUAGGGAAUCGUCGGCAGUGGGCGAAAGCCUGGCGGAGCGACGGCACGUGAGUGAUGAAAGUCUUCGGAUCGUAAAACUCUGUUAUUAGUGAAAAACAAAUGUGUAAGGAACUGUGCACGUCUUGACGGUACCUAAUCAGGAAGCCACGGCUAACUACGUG